Long non-coding RNA from Cavia porcellus (domestic guinea pig), 650 nucleotides. RefSeq lists it as uncharacterized. Lineage: Eukaryota; Metazoa; Chordata; Mammalia; Rodentia; Caviidae. The transcript is spliced from 2 exons. The record is from RefSeq and is a predicted model, not a curated record.
UAUCAUCUUGUGUGCUUACAAAAACCUUGCUUUCUAUAGUAAAUGUGAAGUUAACAGGAGUUUAAGUUCUGUAAUAUAAAAGGAAUUUAAACUAAAUGCCCAUUUUUUUGUUGUGUUUUGAUUUUUCUAGUACUAGAGAUGGAUCCAGGGUCUCACACACGUCAGGCAACACUCUAUGCACUUCUGCUGCCAUGAUAACUGUAGUGCUAUUACUAGUCCAGACACGUUUGCGUAUCUCUUUCCAGGACAGAGCCGUGUCAAUUAUUAGAACUGAAGCCUACCGUAACAAACCAGGACAAUUCAAAGAGGUAACUGAAAAAUUCCAUUUAUAUUUAUCAACGAGGUAAAUAAAACAUAUGCUCAUAUGCUCACUGCCCACUGGAUUUUCUCAUUAAUCAAAUAUCCAUCAGGUUCUUUUCUCAACUGGUGAGUUUUUUUUAAUGUAGCUUUGAAAGACUAUGUUGUAUACAGAUGAUGGUUACUUACUGUGUGUUGUUUGUACCUGUUACAAUUUUAAAUUUAUCACCUAUCUUUAACUUUAUGGUGAUUCUGAAUGUAACACCUUUCAAUUAUAUGUAGCUAAAUCAUGAUCCAUGCCAAGCUUAGUGAGGCCUACCUCUUUCUCAGAAUAAACAUUCACUUGUUUCAGA